Molecule: unclassified non-coding RNA, 23 nt
Filed under: Chlamydomonas reinhardtii
Lineage: Eukaryota; Viridiplantae; Chlorophyta; Chlorophyceae; Chlamydomonadales; Chlamydomonadaceae
Description: small RNA Cre_0392
Source: RNAcentral
ACUGGUGAGCAGUACCGGCUGUU